This 574-nucleotide long non-coding RNA is filed under the name Nicotiana benthamiana. RNAcentral describes it as "long non-coding RNA (NBEN_LNC028122)". The record is from RNAcentral. Lineage: Eukaryota; Viridiplantae; Streptophyta; Magnoliopsida; Solanales; Solanaceae.
GGCGGACGACGAUGAUAAGUCAGGAGUGGUGGAGCUGUAGUUGGUGGAACUCGACUAGGUGGUGGCACUAGAGCUAUAGUUGGUGGAACUGGACUAGGUGGUGGCACUGGAGCUAUAUGCAGGGUCAGGUGCAGGACGUGAAUCAGCUGGGCCUGAUACUGGGGGCGGACGACGAUAAUAAGUCAGGAGCGGUGGAGCUGUAGAAGGUUGAACUCGACUAGGUGGUGGCACUGGAGCUAUAGUUGGUGGAACUGGACUAGGUGGUGGCACUGGAGCUAUAGUUGGUGGAGCUGGACUAGGUGGUGGCACUGGAGCUAUAGUUGGUGGCACUGGAGCUAUAUGUGGUGGAGCUGGAACUGGAACUGGAACUGUAGGCGGUGGAGCUAUGGAGUAAGAUGAAUGGGAGAUAGGGACUGAAUCUCCAAAAGAAGGAACACGUAGCACCUCAGAAAUAUCUAAGUGAUUAACUGGACCUGUGAAGUAUAAUUGAGUUUCAAAGAAGGUAACAUCAGCAUCAUGUCCUACUCCUAAUACAUAUGGGAUUAAGAUUACUUACUACUAUUUAUAUAAUGAA